This 301-nucleotide ribosomal RNA is filed under the name uncultured bacterium. Its description in RNAcentral is "partial 16S ribosomal RNA". It matches the Rfam family "Bacterial small subunit ribosomal RNA", at positions 509 to 807 of the family's 1533-position model. The record is from RNAcentral.
CAGCAGCCGCGGUAAUACAGAGGGUGCGAGCGUUAAUCGGAUUUACUGGGCGUAAAGCGUGCGUAGGCGGCUUCUUAAGUCGGAUGUGAAAUCCCUGAGCUUAACUUAGGAAUUGCAUUCGAUACUGGGAAGCUAGAGUAUGGGAGAGGAUGGUAGAAUUCCAGGUGUAGCGGUGAAAUGCGUAGAGAUCUGGAGGAAUACCGAUGGCGAAGGCAGCCAUCUGGCCUAAUACUGACGCUGAGGUACGAAAGCAUGGGGAGCAAACAGGAUUAGAUACCCGCGUAGUCCCUGUCUCUUAUAC